CCCUUAGAUGUUCUGGGCCGCACACGCGCUACACUGAAGGAGGCAGCGUGUACUCCUGGAUCGAAAGAUUUGGGUAACCCGCGAAUCUCCUUCGUGCUAGGGAUUGAGGUUUGCAAUUAUCCUUCAUGAACGAGGAAUUCCCAGUAAGUGCAAGUCAUAAGCUUGCGCUGACUACGUCCCUGCCCUUUGUACACACCGCCCGUCGCUACUACCGAUUGAGUGAUCCGGUGAAUAAUUCGGACUGCAGCAGUGCUUGGUCCUCCGGGCUUUGCAGCGGAAAGUUUAGUGAACCUUAUCACUUAGAGGAAGGAGAAGUCGUAACA
This 323-nucleotide ribosomal RNA is filed under the name uncultured eukaryote. RNAcentral's name for it is "partial 18S ribosomal RNA". It matches the Rfam family "Eukaryotic small subunit ribosomal RNA", at positions 1470 to 1796 of the family's 1831-position model. The record is from RNAcentral.